GCCUUCCUCUUCAGAAUGGUGGCCCUGAUCCCCGACGCGUUACGCAACGCGGAGAAGUUGCCGGGUGCUCUGAUCUUGUGCGGCGUCGUUGAAGCCGCGGUGGCGCUCUUCCUCAUCAUCUCGAGGACGCCCGGAGGCAUAUUUGUCCACCAUGGCAAGGUGCCCUUCUACCUGUACUACGGCAUCCUCAUUGCCAUAGUGAUAUUCGGGCUUGUGGAGGCUUCCGCCGGAUUCUGGGCAUCCGGUGAUGUGGUCCAACGACGUGCUGCGGCGAAGACGAUCCUGUGGGUGUCCAUCCUGCCCCUC
RNAcentral lists this ribosomal RNA (306 nucleotides) under Triticum aestivum (bread wheat). RNAcentral's name for it is "partial small subunit ribosomal RNA". Lineage: Eukaryota; Viridiplantae; Streptophyta; Magnoliopsida; Poales; Poaceae. The record is from RNAcentral.